ACGGGGCAGAGGGACUAUGUUGUGAGCCUGCGAAAGAAGUUUGUGUGGGGACUGUGGGCAGUGAACGCGUUGGGAACAAUAUGGAAAACUGGGAGCCGCCUUGGAAUCUACAGGGCCGGGACCCACUCGAGCCAUCCACACUUGCCCCAGCCUCCUCCAAAACAGCACACUUUCCGGCUGAAGAAAAGAAGAAUGGUAUUCACGCAGUUCCCAUUUUACAGAUGAAAACAAGAGGACUUUUUCUGUGAAGUCAAGAAAGUGGUUACAAUGGUACUUUCAGCCUGUCCGAAUUAUGUAUUGCCCCUCCCCUUUUUAUUAAUAACAUUGAAGUGUGAUGGGACAACCACUGAAGCCGUCAGUUGAAACCUGCUGGGACUUUUUAGCCAUUCUCUUCAACAUAAAGAAUGGGUGUUUUUGGAGGGGGUGAGAGGAAUGGGGAAAUGUUGUCAAAGAGUACAAUGUUUUAGUUGAGACAGGAAGAAUAUAUUUUGUUGAGAUCUACAGCACAGCAUGGUGACUGUAGUUAACAAUGAAGUAUUGUGUAUUUCCAAAUUGCUAAGACAAUAAAUUUCAAAUGUUCUCACCACAAA
Molecule: long non-coding RNA, 590 nt
Filed under: Homo sapiens (human)
Lineage: Eukaryota; Metazoa; Chordata; Mammalia; Primates; Hominidae
Description: non-protein coding PGM5P4-AS1:6
Source: RNAcentral